This 453-nucleotide long non-coding RNA is filed under the name Numida meleagris (helmeted guineafowl). Its description in RNAcentral is "lncRNA (ENSNMEG00000008099.1)". Lineage: Eukaryota; Metazoa; Chordata; Aves; Galliformes; Numididae. The record is from RNAcentral.
AUGCUGCUUCUGAAACCUCUGAGGCACUGGGGAGGAUGGCUCUGCGUGGUGGGGAGCUCUGGGCCUGUCAUCAGGGGGAUGCCAGCGAUGAGGGCACCCACGGCAAGCAGCUCCUCUGGGGGCCCAGCUGGAAGGCAGGAUUGGCCUGAUCCUAAACUGGCACCACUGGCGAUGAGCUGUGAGGUGUUCACAGCACAUCUGGCACAGGGAGCACUCACCCGGACACCUCAUCACAUGCUUCUCUCUGCCAGAGCAAAGCUGUCCAAGAAGCACCCGGCUGUGGCACUGAGGAUUAAGCCCUGCUACCAGCCCCAGCAUCCCGCUGCCUUCUGUGGGAGGAGAGCAGAGCAUGGACUCCUUCACUGGGCUGAAGCGAUCUGCCAGCUGUGUGCAUCGGAGAGAAACCAGAUCACUCAAGUUUGGAUGAAACUGUGCUGAGAAGGGUUUUUACUG